UAGUAACUGCGAGUGAAGCGGGAAGAGCUCAAAUUUAAAAUCUGGCGCCCUUCUGGACGUCCGAGUUGUAGUCUGGAGAAGUGUUAUCCGCGUCGGACCGUGUACAAGUCUCCUGGAACGGAGCGUCAUAGAGGGUGAGAAUCCCGUCCAUGACACGGACGCCCCGAUGCUAUGUGAGGCACUCUCAAAGAGUCGAGUUGUUUGGGAAUGCAGCUCAAAAUGGGUGGUAAAUUCCAUCUAAAGCUAAAUAUUGGCGAGAGACCGAUAGCGAACAAGUACCGUGAGGGAAAGAUGAAAAGCACUUUGGAAAGAGAGUUAAACAGUACGUGAAAUUGUUGAAAGGGAAACGCUUGAAGUCAGUCGCGUCCCGUGGAACUCAGCCUGGUUUCGACCUGGUGUACUUUCCAUGCGGACGGGUCAACGUCAAUUUCGGCCGGUGGACAAGGGCGAGGGGAAUGUAGCGUUGCUUCGGCGACGUGUUAUAGCCCCCCGUCGUAUACACCGGCCGGGAUUGAGGACCGCAGCACGCCCUUGUGGCCGGGGGGGUUCGCCCCCCACGUAACGUGCUUAGGAUGUUGGCAUAAUGGCUUUAAGCGACCCGUCUUGAAACACGGACCAAGGAGUCUAACAUGCUUGCGAGUGUUCGGGUGGAAAACCCUUGCGCGUAAUGAAAGUGAAAGUUGGGAACCUCCGCGAGGGGGUGCACCGACGCCCGGCCCUGACGUUCUCUGACGGUGCCGCGGUAGAGCACGUAUGUUGGGACCCGAAAGAUGGUGAACUAUGCCUGAAUAGGGCGAAGCCAGAGGAAACUCUGGUGGAGGCUCGUAGCGAUUCUGACGUGCAAAUCGAUCGUC
RNAcentral lists this ribosomal RNA (854 nucleotides) under Sanghuangporus vaninii. RNAcentral describes it as "eukaryotic LSU rRNA". It matches the Rfam family "Eukaryotic large subunit ribosomal RNA", at positions 81 to 906 of the family's 3401-position model. Lineage: Eukaryota; Fungi; Basidiomycota; Agaricomycetes; Hymenochaetales; Hymenochaetaceae. The record is from RNAcentral.